RNAcentral lists this transfer RNA (72 nucleotides) under Ovis aries (sheep). It matches the Rfam family "tRNA". From Rfam's summary of the family: Transfer RNA (tRNA) molecules are approximately 80 nucleotides in length. Their secondary structure includes four short double-helical elements and three loops (D, anti-codon, and T loops). Lineage: Eukaryota; Metazoa; Chordata; Mammalia; Artiodactyla; Bovidae. The record is from Rfam by way of RNAcentral.
UCCCUGGUGGCUUAGUCGGUAAAGAAUCCACCUGCAAUGCAGGAGACUCGGGUUCGAUCCCCGGUCGGGAAG